Molecule: unclassified non-coding RNA, 348 nt
Filed under: soil metagenome
Description: partial contains 5.8S ribosomal RNA, internal transcribed spacer 2, and large subunit ribosomal RNA
Rfam family: 5.8S ribosomal RNA (bases 3-118)
Source: RNAcentral
GAAAGAACGUAGCGAACUGCGAUAAGUAAUGUGAAUUGCAGAAUUCAGUGAAUCAUCGAGUCUUUGAACGCACAUUGCGCCCCCUGGCAUUCCGGGGGGCAUGCCUGUCCGAGCGUCAUUGCUGCCCUUCAAGCCCGGCUUGUGUGUUGGGUCGUCGUCCCCCCCGGGGGACGGGCCCGAAAGGCAGCGGCGGCACCGCGUCCGGUCCUCGAGCGUAUGGGGCUUUGUCACCCGCUCGAUUAGGGCCGGCCGGGCGCCAGCCGGCGUCUCCAACCUUCUAUUUUACCAGGUUGACCUCGGAUCAGGUAGGGAUACCCGCUGAACUUAAGCAUAUCAAUAAGCGGAGGA